Molecule: transfer RNA, 83 nt
Filed under: Candidatus Pacearchaeota archaeon
Lineage: Archaea; Nanobdellati
Description: tRNA-Ser
Rfam family: tRNA
About the family: Transfer RNA (tRNA) molecules are approximately 80 nucleotides in length. Their secondary structure includes four short double-helical elements and three loops (D, anti-codon, and T loops).
Source: RNAcentral
GCCCAGGUGGCGGAGUGGUUAACGCGCUGGAUUGCUAAUCCAGUUUCCUUCGGGAUUCACAGGUUCGAAUCCUGUCCUGGGCG